This is a long non-coding RNA of Eucalyptus grandis, 223 nucleotides long. RefSeq lists it as uncharacterized. The transcript is spliced from 2 exons. Lineage: Eukaryota; Viridiplantae; Streptophyta; Magnoliopsida; Myrtales; Myrtaceae. The record is from RefSeq and is a predicted model, not a curated record.
GCUCGACAGAACACCUCCCCUCUCCUCUUCAAUUUUCUCUCUCGGUCUUGGGCUUUUGAGGUUCUAAUCUUGAAGAACUAGCAAGGAGGGUAGAGCAGCCUCUAGGUCAGAAACAUCGAACGAUCUCUACAUACAGAGACACAACCACCCACACCUCCUCACCUUCAGCUUCUUGGGUAGUGGAGAGGAGAAAAGAAAAGAAAAGAAAAGGAUAAGAAAGGAU